RNAcentral lists this long non-coding RNA (406 nucleotides) under Linum usitatissimum (flax). Its description in RNAcentral is "long non-coding RNA (LUSI_LNC006917)". Lineage: Eukaryota; Viridiplantae; Streptophyta; Magnoliopsida; Malpighiales; Linaceae. The record is from RNAcentral.
AAGCAGCCCAGGGACAGAUAAAUUUUUCCGCAAAAUGUUCAGAGACCGGGACCGUUCGGUUGAAGAUUCCAAAUUGUUGAGUGCCAAGAAGAACAGGGAGGUGCGUUGAGAAGAUAUUUAGCCUGCCUAUGAUAUCAAGAUGAUUUUGGUAUGAUGAUAUUAUUUUAAUGAAAACAAGAUGAUUUUGGUAUGAUGAUAUUAUUUCUGUGUUCCCAAUUAUACAUAUAUAUAAAGUCUGCAUUAUUAGGGUGCAGAAUCACUUUAUGAUAAUCCCUACAAAUCAGGGAUUACUCUGCCUACCAUUUAUUACUAAUAUACUGCAUAAAUCAGGCUAGAUAGAUCAAAUAAGACAGCUAGCUUACUCUAAUUUCUAUGCUUAAUCACAUCUUAAUUAUUGCUGUAAUUC